UACGUAGGUGGCAAGCGAUACUCGGAAUCACUAGGCGUAAAGCGCAGGUAGGCGGUUUGGUAAGUCUCUUGUGAAAGCUCCCGGCUCAACUGGGAGAGGUCAAGGGAAACUGCCAGGCUUGAGUGUGGCAGAGGAAGCUGGAAUUCCCGGUGUAGAGGUGAAAUUCGUAGAUAUCGGGAGGAACACCUGUGGCGAAGGCGGCCAUCUGGACGUCAACUGACGCUGAGACGCGAAAGCAUGGGGAGCAAACAGG
RNAcentral lists this ribosomal RNA (253 nucleotides) under uncultured bacterium. RNAcentral's name for it is "partial 16S ribosomal RNA". It matches the Rfam family "Bacterial small subunit ribosomal RNA", at positions 524 to 776 of the family's 1533-position model. The record is from RNAcentral.